UUUAUGGAGAGUUUGAUCCUGGCUCAGGAUGAACGCUGGCGGCGUGCCUAAUACAUGCAAGUCGAGCGAACGGACGAGAAGCUUGCUUCUCUGAUGUUAGCGGCGGACGGGUGAGUAACACGUGGAUAACCUACCUAUAAGACUGGGAUAACUUCGGGAAACCGGAGCUAAUACCGGAUAAUAUUUUGAACCGCAUGGUUCAAAAGUGAAAGACGGUCUUGCUGUCACUUAUAGAUGGAUCCGCGCUGCAUUAGCUAGUUGGUAAGGUAACGGCUUACCAAGGCAACGAUGCAUAGCCGACCUGAGAGGGUGAUCGGCCACACUGGAACUGAGACACGGUCCAGACUCCUACGGGAGGCAGCAGUAGGGAAUCUUCCGCAAUGGGCGAAAGCCUGACGGAGCAACGCCGCGUGAGUGAUGAAGGUCUUCGGAUCGUAAAACUCUGUUAUUAGGGAAGAACAUAUGUGUAAGUAACUGUGCACAUCUUGACGGUACCUAAUCAGAAAGCCACGGCUAACUACGUGCCAGCAGCCGCGGUAAUACGUAGGUGGCAAGCGUUAUCCGGAAUUAUUGGGCGUAAAGCGCGCGUAGGCGGUUUUUUAAGUCUGAUGUGAAAGCCCACGGCUCAACCGUGGAGGGUCAUUGGAAACUGGAAAACUUGAGUGCAGAAGAGGAAAGUGGAAUUCCAUGUGUAGCGGUGAAAUGCGCAGAGAUAUGGAGGAACACCAGUGGCGAAGGCGACUUUCUGGUCUGUAACUGACGCUGAUGUGCGAAAGCGUGGGGAUCAAACAGGAUUAGAUACCCUGGUAGUCCACGCCGUAAACGAUGAGUGCUAAGUGUUAGGGGGUUUCCGCCCUUAGUGCUGCAGCUAACGCAUUAAGCACUCCGCCUGGGGAGUACGACCGCAAGGUUGAAACUCAAAGGAAUUGACGGGGACCCGCACAAGCGGUGGAGCAUGUGGUUUAAUUCGAAGCAACGCGAAGAACCUUACCAAAUCUUGACAUCCUUUGACAACUCUAGAGAUAGAGCCUUCCCUUCGGGGACAAAGUGACAGGUGGUGCAUGGUUGUCGUCAGCUCGUGUCGUGAGAUGUUGGGUUAAGUCCCGCAACGAGCGCAACCCUUAAGCUUAGUUGCCAUCAUUAAGUUGGGCACUCUAAGUUGACUGCCGGUGACAAACCGGAGGAAGGUGGGGAUGACGUCAAAUCAUCAUGCCCCUUAUGAUUUGGGCUACACACGUGCUACAAUGGACAAUACAAAGGGCAGCGAAACCGCGAGGUCAAGCAAAUCCCAUAAAGUUGUUCUCAGUUCGGAUUGUAGUCUGCAACUCGACUACAUGAAGCUGGAAUCGCUAGUAAUCGUAGAUCAGCAUGCUACGGUGAAUACGUUCCCGGUCUUGUACACACCGCCCGUCACACCACGAGAGUUUGUAACACCCGAAGCCGGUGGAGUAACCUUUUAGGAGCUAGCCGUCGAAGGUGGGACAAAUGAUUGGGGUGAAGUCGUAACAAGGUAGCCGUAUCGGAAGGUGCGGCUGGAUCACCUCCUUUCU
RNAcentral lists this ribosomal RNA (1550 nucleotides) under Staphylococcus aureus. RNAcentral's name for it is "16S ribosomal RNA". It matches the Rfam family "Bacterial small subunit ribosomal RNA". Lineage: Bacteria; Bacillati; Bacillota; Bacilli; Caryophanales; Staphylococcaceae. The record is from RNAcentral.